RNAcentral lists this ribosomal RNA (429 nucleotides) under Chloroflexota bacterium. RNAcentral's name for it is "Chloroflexi bacterium partial 16S ribosomal RNA". It matches the Rfam family "Bacterial small subunit ribosomal RNA", at positions 355 to 776 of the family's 1533-position model. Lineage: Bacteria; Bacillati; Chloroflexota. The record is from RNAcentral.
UGGGGAAUAUUGCACAAUGGGCGCAAGCCUGAUGCAGCCAUGCCGCGUGUAUGAAGAAGGCCUUCGGGUUGUAAAGUACUUUCAGCGGGGAGGAAGGGAGUAAAGUUAAUACCUUUGCUCAUUGACGUUACCCGCAGAAGAAGCACCGGCUAACUCCGUGCCAGCAGCCGCGGUAAUACGGAGGGUGCAAGCGUUAAUCGGAAUUACUGGGCGUAAAGCGCACGCAGGCGGUUUGUUAAGUCAGAUGUGAAAUCCCCGGGCUCAACCUGGGAACUGCAUCUGAUACUGGCAAGCUUGAGUCUCGUAGAGGGGGGUAGAAUUCCAGGUGUAGCGGUGAAAUGCGUAGGGAUCUGGAGGAAUACCGGUGGCGAAGGCGGCCCCCUGGACAAAGACUGACGCUCAGGUGCGAAAGCGUGGGGAGCAAACAGG